GAGGGCUUAACUGUCUCCUGUAGCCAAUCAAUGAAAUUGAUCUCACAGUACAAAUGCUGUGAUACAACUAUAAGACGAGAAGACCCUGUGGAGCUUUAAACCUACCACAUUAACUAAUUACCCUCAACUACGAUUAGUAUAACGUAAGUUUUAAGUUGGGGCGACUAUGGAGCAAAAAUUAACCUCCAAGUAAUACGAUUAAACCUCGUUACACACGGCUAACAAGCCUAGUCAAAACACACGACCCAGUCAAACUGACUAUCGAACCAAGUUACCCCAGGGAUAACAGCGCCAUCCCCUUAAAGAGUUCACAUCG
This 316-nucleotide ribosomal RNA is filed under the name Phelsuma lineata (striped day gecko). RNAcentral's name for it is "partial 16S ribosomal RNA". It matches the Rfam family "Bacterial large subunit ribosomal RNA", at positions 2006 to 2507 of the family's 2925-position model. The record is from RNAcentral. Lineage: Eukaryota; Metazoa; Chordata; Lepidosauria; Squamata; Gekkonidae.